CAAUUCCAUUUUCCUCACUGAGGCUCUGGUAGGUGGUGGUGGGAGAGACUAAAGAGAAAUGCAGAAUACAGCUGUACCUGUCCUCCAUGUCUGUGGAGCAAACGGGCUAACAAGUAAGUUCUAGAAACAAACUGCCUGCAUUGAAGGCUGAAAUGUUCCACUUCCCAACUCCGUGGUUGGUAUAAGUCCUUUAGCCUUUGGCGCACAGCUUCCGUGUCUGCAAAGGCAAUCAUAAGACCUACUCAUAAGGUUGUCUUGGGAGUGGGUAAUGCACACAUAGUAAAUGCCAAACGCUUUACUGUGAACCAGACACCAUUCAACCAACAUUUGCUCUUAGGGGCCACAGUCCAAGUCCCAUGUCACCUUGGUGGUUCCUGUGUGUGAAAGCCCAAAGAAACAACCAGGCUUCUUGUUGUUCGUGAUUUCUUCCUUUGAUUCUUUUUUUUUUUUCUUUUCUUUUUUUCGGAGCUGGGGA
This 475-nucleotide long non-coding RNA is filed under the name Rattus norvegicus (Norway rat). RNAcentral's name for it is "long non-coding RNA NONRATT033973". Lineage: Eukaryota; Metazoa; Chordata; Mammalia; Rodentia; Muridae. The record is from RNAcentral.